UACGGAGGGUGCUAGCGUUGUUCGGAAUCACUGGGCGUAAAGGGCGUGUAGGCGGUCUGUUAAGUCUGAUGUGAAAUCCCCUCGCUCAACGAGGGAACUGCGUCGGAUACUGGCAGACUCGAGUACCGGAGAGGAAGGUGGAAUUCCCGGUGUAGCGGUGAAAUGCGUAGAUAUCAGGAGGAAUACCGAUGGCGAAGGCAGGUCUCUGGGCUGACACUGACGCUCAUGCACGAAAGCGUGGGGAGCAAACAGG
This 253-nucleotide ribosomal RNA is filed under the name uncultured bacterium. RNAcentral's name for it is "partial 16S ribosomal RNA". It matches the Rfam family "Bacterial small subunit ribosomal RNA", at positions 524 to 776 of the family's 1533-position model. The record is from RNAcentral.